UGGCUGGCAAUAUGGAGAAAUGUUUGCAUAUCUAAAUAGAUACAAAUGCAAAUUAAAAAGUCAGCUGUGUCUAGUGUCACCAGGAUUGUGAUGUACCUUCCACAAGGACAUUUGUUGUCACUCUUUCUUUGAUCAACCCCAACAUUUCAGUAACAGAGACAACCAAGUUGUCACUGAACUAGACUUUACGUGGUGCAGAAAUUAAAAUUUAUCCACUGUAUCAUUUCCCUCAGAUCAUUCACUGCCUGCUGAACUUUGAAACCCCUCUCCGUGGUGCUUCUGCUGCAUGAAUCUUGCCAGAUCUCAGAAGCUAAGCAGAAUCGGCCCUGGUUAGUUCUUGGAUGGAAGACCACCAAGGAAGUACUGGGUCAUGAUGCAGAAGGAGACAAUGACAUACCACCUCUGAAUCCGUCUUGCCUUGAAAAUCCUAUGUGAUGAUCACUUUCCCUGUGAGAUAACUUUUUGCCUUAGAAGAGCGUAUCUCCAGCUCCCAUGCCAUGAAUUGAGAACUUGACUGGGGAGCGAACGGAUGUUUUAACAGUAAAUUGUGAUGGAAACACAGUAAACUCUUGACC
Long non-coding RNA from Eublepharis macularius, 575 nucleotides. RefSeq lists it as uncharacterized. The transcript has 3 exons. Lineage: Eukaryota; Metazoa; Chordata; Lepidosauria; Squamata; Eublepharidae. The record is from RefSeq and is a predicted model, not a curated record.